This 186-nucleotide microRNA precursor is filed under the name Glycine max (soybean). RNAcentral describes it as "miR9728 stem-loop (gma-MIR9728)". The record is from miRBase by way of RNAcentral. Lineage: Eukaryota; Viridiplantae; Streptophyta; Magnoliopsida; Fabales; Fabaceae.
CAACCCGCAGAACUGAAACAAGUUGAGAAAUGCUCAUCUCUUUGUAGUUUUUAUGGGUGGUCGAAGCGAACAUAGGUGGAGACCCAAGUUCGGCUUUUAGUUGCAAGGCCAUGGAGAAGCUCAAAACCCUCAAACUUUGAGGGCAAAAUGGGCAAAGGAUUUCUCAACUUGUUUCAGUUUUGCAUG